RNAcentral lists this unclassified non-coding RNA (201 nucleotides) under plant metagenome. RNAcentral's name for it is "partial contains small subunit ribosomal RNA, internal transcribed spacer 1, and 5.8S ribosomal RNA". The record is from RNAcentral.
UCUCCGUUGGUGAACCAGCGGAGGGAUCAUUAUCGAGUUUAUAACCCUCAAGCCCUAUGUGAACUUACCACUUGUUGAUCACACGCGCGCUUUGGUGCCGCCGAGGAGACUUAAACUAUUUGUUUUUAUAAGCAUUUCUGAGAUGCCGAAAGGCAAAAUACUAAUGAAUCAAAACUUUCAACAACGGAUCUCUUGGUUCUG